GACGAACGCUGGCGGCGUGCUUAACACAUGCAAGUCGAACGGAAAGGCCCUGCUUUUGUGGGGUGCUCGAGUGGCGAACGGGUGAGUAACACGUGAGUAACCUGCCCUUGACUUUGGGAUAAUUUCAGGAAACUGGGGCUAAUACCGGAUAGGAGCUCCUGCUGCAUGGUGGGGGUUGGAAAGUUUCGGCGGUUGGGGAUGGACUCGCGGCUUAUCAGCUUGUUGGUGGGGUAGUGGCUUACCAAGGCUUUGACGGGUAGCCGACCUGAGAGGGUGACCGGCCACAUUGGGACUGAGAUACGGCCCAGACUCCUACGGGAGGCAGCAGUGGGGAAUAUUGCACAAUGGGCGGAAGCCUGAUGCAGCAACGCCGCGUGCGGGAUGACGGCCUUCGGGUUGUAAACCGCUUUCGCCUGUGACGAAGCGUGAGUGACGGUAAUGGGUAAAGAAGCACCGGCUAACUACGUGCCAGCAGCCGCGGUGAUACGUAGGGUGCGAGCGUUGUCCGGAUUUAUUGGGCGUAAAGGGCUCGUAGGUGGUUGAUCGCGUCGGAAGUGUAAUCUUGGGGCUUAACCCUGAGCGUGCUUUCGAUACGGGUUGACUUGAGGAAGGUAGGGGAGAAUGGAAUUCCUGGUGGAGCGGUGGAAUGCGCAGAUAUCAGGAGGAACACCAGUGGCGAAGGCGGUUCUCUGGGCCUUUCCUGACGCUGAGGAGCGAAAGCGUGGGGAGCGAACAGGCUUAGAUACCCUGGUAGUCCACGCUGUAAACGGUGGGUACUAGGUGUGGGGUCCAUUCCACGGGUUCCGUGCCGUAGCUAACGCUUUAAGUACCCCGCCUGGGGAGUACGGCCGCAAGGCUAAAACUCAAAGGAAUUGACGGGGCCCCGCACAAGCGGCGGAGCAUGCGGAUUAAUUCGAUGCAACGCGUAGAACCUUACCUGGGUUUGACAUGGAUCGGGAGUGCUCAGAGAUGGGUGUGCCUCUUUUGGGGUCGGUUCACAGGUGGUGCAUGGCUGUCGUCAGCUCGUGUCGUGAGAUGUUGGGUUAAGUCCCGCAACGAGCGCAACCCUUGUUCACUGUUGCCAGCACGUUAUGGUGGGGACUCAGUGGAGACCGCCGGGGUCAACUCGGAGGAAGGUAGGGAUGACGUCAAGUCAUCAUGCCCCUUAUGUCCAGGGCUUCACGCAUGCUACAAUGGCUGGUACAGAGAGUGGCGAGCCUGUGAGGGUGAGCGAAUCUCGGAAAGCCGGUCUCAGUUCGGAUUGGGGUCUGCAACUCGACCUCAUGAAGUCGGAGUCGCUAGUAAUCGCAGAUCAGCAACGCUGCGGUGAAUACGUUCCCGGG
Molecule: ribosomal RNA, 1343 nt
Filed under: uncultured bacterium
Lineage: Bacteria
Description: 16S ribosomal RNA
Rfam family: Bacterial small subunit ribosomal RNA
Source: RNAcentral